Molecule: ribosomal RNA, 180 nt
Filed under: uncultured Brucella sp.
Lineage: Bacteria; Pseudomonadati; Pseudomonadota; Alphaproteobacteria; Hyphomicrobiales; Brucellaceae
Description: partial 16S ribosomal RNA
Rfam family: Bacterial small subunit ribosomal RNA
Source: RNAcentral
ACGGGGGGACUCCUACGGGAGGCAGCAGUGGGGAAUAUUGGACAAUGGGCGCAAGCCUGAUCCAGCCAUGCCGCGUGAGUGAUGAAGGCCCUAGGGUUGUAAAGCUCUUUCACCGGUGAAGAUAAUGACGGUAACCGGAGAAGAAGCCCCGGCUAACUUCGUGCCAGCAGCCGCGGUAAU